Molecule: long non-coding RNA, 1033 nt
Filed under: Musa acuminata (dwarf banana)
Lineage: Eukaryota; Viridiplantae; Streptophyta; Magnoliopsida; Zingiberales; Musaceae
Description: long non-coding RNA (MACU_LNC004940)
Source: RNAcentral
GGCAUCUAUGAAAAUUUUGAUGAAUGCUAUGAAGGCCCUUCACAGGCAUAUGUCAUAGCUUUGGAAAAUCAGAGGGAAACGGAAACCUCAAAACCUGCAGAGGCAUCCGAUUAGAUAGAGAUGUUUGUUGCUUCUAAGCAGCCACUUUGCUUCCUCCCUGAUGUUUGUUCUGAUCACUGCACGAGGUUUGUUCUAAUCACUUCACUGCCAGUUAAGGAUGCUUGCAACAUUUUAUUUGAGUUGGAUUCAGAAAAGAAGGGUAAGAAACUUCAUCAUGCACUUUGCAAUGUUUUUUCCGGUGUUUGUUGACUCUGCCAUCAUGGCUCUCUUGUGUAUAAGCUGUGGCCAAAUUGACUGAUCGUUCAAGGUUGCUCACCAUAGUUGCACAAGAACCCAAAAAAUGAAUCUAUUCAACAGGUGAAUACUUGUGCCUAAUAACUUAUUACUAUCCAAUCAGAUACAGUGUUAAAUCCGAUGUAGUUUUUCUAGGUGUAUCUACUUACACCAUUCAUUGUCUUCAUCGGAUGAACAUCUGUAACAUGUUUAAACAGUCCAAUGCUUUUCAUUGUAGUAUUCCAUCAUUUUGUAUAUAACUUUCCUCUGAUUGGGCUUCUAUUUCCAGUUUUUUUCUGCAGAGAGCCCCUCAAUUUGCAGAAAGUAAAUCAUAUCUGUCGCCAAAUGCACUGGACCGGUCUGGCUGCUGAAGCGGUCCAGCGUUAUUCUGGUUGAGCAAACGAAGCAACAGGUGCAAUCCCCUUCCUACGCCAUAAAAUGCUGCACUGCUUCUGCUUUGGAUGCUUUAAUUCCCUUUUCAGUUUUCUUUCUCCAGGAACUGUUUCUCCGCAAUAAUCUCUUUGAAGGCUGAUGCAGCAUAUAUACCCUUCCUUUUUCCCUGUUGAAGACGGUGGAUCCUGUUUCAACCCCUAUUGCAUUUCGACGCUUUGGAGAUUUCCUCUCUUUCAAGCUGGUCGGUUCCACCACAAUCUUUGUAAGAGUCAUAGAAGCCACCAAGCCUUGCAGACCUCACCUCUCG